GGAUGUGAGUAAUCUGGCUUUGUUGUCUGUGACCCUACUGAUCACCAGAGGUGAUUCAGCUGAUGUGGCUGGCUGGGUAGGUCCCCCCUUCCUCCCUGUACAAGCUGUAAGUGUGGACAGGUCUUCCAAUGAGGGUAUAGGAGUAGCUUCACUCCCCUGCUAGAACCUCCAAACAAGCUCUCAAGGAGGAUCGGAUACCACUAGAAGUAUUCAGAUCAUAGUGAAGCUAAGUAUACUAACACAGAUAUUUAGCCUCCCCCAACUAACCUGGCUAUAAU
Molecule: small nuclear RNA, 278 nt
Filed under: Erinaceus europaeus (western European hedgehog)
Lineage: Eukaryota; Metazoa; Chordata; Mammalia; Eulipotyphla; Erinaceidae
Description: 7SK RNA (ENSEEUG00000022797.1)
Rfam family: 7SK RNA
About the family: 7SK was discovered as an abundant small nuclear RNA in the mid-70s but a possible function has only recently been suggested. Two independent studies have found that 7SK RNA binds the CDK9/cyclin T complex (known as elongation factor P-TEFb).
Source: RNAcentral